Molecule: ribosomal RNA, 301 nt
Filed under: uncultured bacterium
Lineage: Bacteria
Description: partial 16S ribosomal RNA
Rfam family: Bacterial small subunit ribosomal RNA
Source: RNAcentral
CAGCCGCCGCGGUAAUACGAAGGGUGCAAGCGUUAAUCGGAAUUACUGGGCGUAAAGCGUGCGCAGGCGGUUCGGAAAGAAAGAUGUGAAAUCCCAGGGCUCAACCUUGGAACUGCAUUUUUAACUACCGGACUAGAGUAUGUCAGAGGGAGGUGGAAUUCCACGUGUAGCAGUGAAAUGCGUAGAGAUGUGGAGGAACACCGAUGGCGAAGGCAGCCCCCUGGGCCAAUACUGUCGCUCUUGCACGAAAGCGUGGGAGCAAACAGGAUUAGAUACCCCUGUAGUCCCUGUCUCUUAUCAC